GCCAACUAUAAGAUCAAGAUCAAGAUCAGAAUGCAAAUCAGCUGAUGUAGGUAGCAGCGCCAAGGUGGGCUGUAGUCAGGUACCAGAACACCUUCAGGAUGUCUGUUGCAUGUCGCUGGACCAGACGGUUGUGCGGUAGGCACCUCACUCUGAACCGAGGCAUGCACUCCUCUGCAGUGCUCUCCAAUAAAGAAGAUGAAACCCCAAAGAAAGUUUGGGUCACCCACCACCGUGAGGGUGAGAAAAUGUCAUGGAAUGUCCCCAGUGAACCUGUUGAUGUCAGACAGAAGAUACCUGACAAUGAGUGGCGGGGACUCCUGCACCGGAUUGCACCAAAGAAACCCAUCAGAGCAGACUUUAUGAGCUACAUGCAGAGAGGGAUUGACUUGCGGCCAUCCUCCAUCAAAAGGUGGUGGGGCAAUAUGCAGACUGAGGCAGCAGCAAAAGAUCAAAUGUACAAACCAGAGCGUGUGGCAGUGUUGGGGUUUGAGUUGGCUGCAGCUCACUUUGUUGUUCACCGUGGGGGGAGGGUGCGCUUCAGGGGCGUCAAGGAGUGGGUGGAGCAGAAUGAGGAUGAAGAGUAUGAGUUGUCAAGACACUAUCAGCCUGGCGUGUAUAUAGAGGAGGUGGAUGCGAGUAAAAUUAACCUGGUGUAUGAAGGUCUGGAGAGCAUGAAAAACCUCAUGUACCUGAAGAAUCUCUCUGUAUCUGGCUGUGCCCACAUUGAUGACUGGUGCAUUGAUCGGAUCUGCUGUCAGUUCUCAGGCACCUUGGAGCACCUUGACAUCAGCGGGUGUACCAAGGUGACAGAGCGUGGUAUUGGAGCGCUGGCGAGACUGAGUGGUUGUCAGUCUGUCCAUCAUUUGACAGACAACUGCGCACUCUCAACAUUACCGGCCUGGAUGGUGUCAAGGAUAUCAGACUACUCUGCCUCCUCCUAAAAGACGACCUGCCUCAACUCAAAAUAUCUGGCAUCAAUUACUUCAAUCCUGAGACAUUAGAACAUUCAUAGGAGUAGCAUGGUGGGAGGAGGCAAUCCACAGUGCAUGUUAGUCAUGCCUUACACACAGCUGCUUGUGGACAGGUAUGCUUGUACCUAGCUCAUCACCUGCCAAUAAACAAAUACUGUCCUAUGCAAACACAGAUCCACAAACUUGAUUAUUUUCUUCUUCAACUUCAAAAUUUAGAAUUUUGUUAUGUAUUUAAAACCCAAAGACUUAGUCAUUAUCUUCUACAACUUCAAAUCAACAAACUCAAUCACUCUUUUGUAUACAUCUUCAAUUCACAAACAAUCAUUAUCUUCCAUAUCUUCAAAUCUGCAAAUUUAUCAUUAUCUUCUACAGUUUCAAAUCCACAAACUUAAUAAUUUUCUUCUGUAACUUUAGUUCCAGAAACUUAAUGAUUGUCUCUUGUAACUUAAAAUCUGCAGAUGUUUUGCAGUUGGUGGCUGUGCAUCCUUUUUUUAAAGAUUUUUGAGAAACUUACUGUUGCCAUGGUCUGGCACAAAGAUUUGAUUUCCAAACUGCCUUCCUAGGGCUUGUAUUUGUCUCUCUGCAACUUUCUCUUAAGUUUCUUGACUGUUUUAUUGCUGCUGUGAUAGAUUGUCACUGUUUUUCUAAAUCUUUUGAUACUGAUAUUCAUCAGGGUUCUGUUCUGUCAACCACUCUCUUCCUAUUAUUCAUCAAUGAUCUAAACCAAACUUUUUGUCCUAUUUGCUCUUAUGGUGAUGAUACCAUCCUACACUUUUCCACGUCCUUUAAGAGAUGACCAACUCUUCAUGAGAUGAAUAGAACGCAUAGGGAUGCCACAGAACUCCUGACUUUUAAGCUUUCUAAAAUUUCUGAUUGGGGCAGAAUGAACUUAGUAUUGUGCAAUGCCUCAAAAACUCAUUUCUUCUAUCAAUCAAUUCAGCACAACUUACCAGACAAUUUUCCAGUCCAGUGACAAUUAACUGUUUCCCUCCUUUAUACUGAACAUCCUCAGUCUGUCCUUUUCUUAUAUGUAAUCUAAACUGGAAAUUUCACAUCUCAUCUCUUGCUAAUACAGCUUCUAUGAAGUUAGAUGUUCUGAGUCAUCUCUCAGUUUUUCUCACUUCCCCAAAUUCAUCCUUUUCUCUGGUAAAUCUGGAACACCUUGUCUGCUUCUAUAUUUUCACCUUCCAAUGACUUAAUU
This 2172-nucleotide unclassified non-coding RNA is filed under the name Portunus trituberculatus (swimming crab). Its description in RNAcentral is "distal membrane-arm assembly complex protein 2-like, transcript variant X1". The record is from RNAcentral. Lineage: Eukaryota; Metazoa; Arthropoda; Malacostraca; Decapoda; Portunidae.